UACAGAGGGGGCAAGCGUUGUUCGGAAUUACUGGGCGUAAAGGGCGCGUAGGCGGCCUUCUAAGUCGAACGUGAAAUCCCCGGGCUCAACCCGGGAACUGCGUCCGAUACUGGAAGGCUUGAAUCCGGGAGAGGGAUGCGGAAUUCCAGGGUGUAGCGGUGAAAUGCGUAGAUAUCUGGAGGAACACCGGUGGCGAAGGCGGCAUCCUGGACCGGCAUUGACGCUGAGGCGCGAAAGCCAGAGGAGCAAACGGGG
Molecule: ribosomal RNA, 255 nt
Filed under: uncultured bacterium
Lineage: Bacteria
Description: partial 16S ribosomal RNA
Rfam family: Bacterial small subunit ribosomal RNA
Source: RNAcentral